AUUGAACGCUGGCGGCAUGCCUUACACAUGCAAGUCGAACGGUAACGCGGGGGCAACCCUGGCGACGAGUGGCGAACGGGUGAGUAAUGCAUCGGAACGUGCCCAGUAGUGGGGGAUAGCUCGGCGAAAGCCGGAUUAAUACCGCAUACGACCUACGGGUGAAAGCGGGGGACCGAAAGGCCUCGCGCUAUUGGAGCGGCCGAUGUCGGAUUAGCUUGUUGGUGGGGUAAAAGCCUACCAAGGCGACGAUCCGUAGCUGGUCUGAGAGGACGACCAGCCACACUGGGACUGAGACACGGCCCAGACUCCUACGGGAGGCAG
This 321-nucleotide ribosomal RNA is filed under the name uncultured Pseudomonadota bacterium. RNAcentral describes it as "bacterial SSU rRNA". It matches the Rfam family "Bacterial small subunit ribosomal RNA", at positions 29 to 351 of the family's 1533-position model. The record is from RNAcentral. Lineage: Bacteria; Pseudomonadati; Pseudomonadota.